GCGUCUGUAGUGCAAUGGUUUAGUAGGCACUCCCGGAAAGAGUGAGUCUGGGAUCGAAUCCCACCUGACGCA
Parelaphostrongylus tenuis is the source of this 72-nucleotide non-coding RNA. NCBI's taxonomy places the organism in Eukaryota, Metazoa, Nematoda, Chromadorea, Rhabditida, Metastrongylidae. The record is from the annotation of a GenBank genome assembly.